RNAcentral lists this ribosomal RNA (253 nucleotides) under uncultured bacterium. Its description in RNAcentral is "partial 16S ribosomal RNA". It matches the Rfam family "Bacterial small subunit ribosomal RNA", at positions 524 to 776 of the family's 1533-position model. The record is from RNAcentral.
UACAGAGGGGGCAAGCGUUAUUCGGAAUUAUUGGGCGUAAAGGGCGCGUAGGCGGCUUGGCAAGUGGAAGGUGAAAUCCCUCGGCUUAACCGAGGAACUGCCCUCCAAACUGCUUCGCUUGAGACCGGGAGAGGUGAGUGGAAUUCCCAGUGUAGCGGUGAAAUGCGUAGAUAUUGGGAGGAACACCAGUGGCGAAGGCGGCUCACUGGACCGGUACUGACGCUGAUGCGCGAAAGCGUGGGGAGCGAACAGG